UACGUAGGGCGCAAGCGUUGUCCGGAAUUAUUGGGCGUAAAGAGCUCGUAGGCGGUUUGUCGCGUCUGCUGUGAAAACCUAAGGCUCAACCUUGGGCUUGCAGUGGGUACGGGCAGACUAGAGUGCGGUAGGGGUGACUGGAAUUCAUGGUGUAGCGGUGGAAUGCGCAGAUAUCAGGAGGAACACCGAUGGCGAAGGCAGGUCACUGGGCCGCAACUGACGCUGAGGAGCGAAAGCACGGGGAGCGAACAGG
This 253-nucleotide ribosomal RNA is filed under the name uncultured bacterium. RNAcentral's name for it is "partial 16S ribosomal RNA". It matches the Rfam family "Bacterial small subunit ribosomal RNA", at positions 524 to 776 of the family's 1533-position model. The record is from RNAcentral.